GAGCAUCCUUCCCCCCAACUGGCCCUCCUUGGGGCAGAAUGUAGGCUAGCUUGCCUUCCCAGGUGUUUACACAGUUCCCGUUGUAAACAACAGUUAUCCCUGCUUAACGGCUUUUGAAGGAGAAUGUCAUUUGCAGCAGACUGGAGACCCUUAGGCAAUCCUGCCUACACCCCCAGCCUGCCCAUCAUGACCAUUUUUACCCAUAAUAGUUGGCCUGUUGAAACAGCCAUUUAUUUUUCUGAGAGAGAAGUCCCAUGGUCUUCUGUGUGUCAAAGCAAAGUCAUAUUUUGGAGAGAGACUCCAUAUGCCUCAAAAGAAAAACUACAAAGAUCAUUACAACAGCAUGCCCAUCUUUGCUUGUUAACAUAGUUCACCAGUAGCAGGCCAGAAAAAAGCAGACAAUGAUCAAAUACGAUAGACCAACGCACUGAAACAUCAACCCACCAUGAAUCUCCUGACUAUUGUCCCAAAGCACAGUAUUACUAUCAGGAAACAAGGCCAGUAUGACAGGCUUCUCAUCCUUAACAAAGAUUAAUCAAUUUGUUCCAUUUCUCCUAUCCAUCAUGAAGACCCAGUGUCCCUUCUUUGCAGGAA
Pygoscelis adeliae (Adelie penguin) is the source of this 594-nucleotide long non-coding RNA. RefSeq lists it as uncharacterized. Lineage: Eukaryota; Metazoa; Chordata; Aves; Sphenisciformes; Spheniscidae. The transcript has 5 exons. The record is from RefSeq and is a predicted model, not a curated record.